RNAcentral lists this ribosomal RNA (483 nucleotides) under uncultured bacterium. RNAcentral's name for it is "partial 16S ribosomal RNA". It matches the Rfam family "Bacterial small subunit ribosomal RNA", at positions 31 to 523 of the family's 1533-position model. The record is from RNAcentral.
GAAGAACGCUGGCGGCGUGCUUAACACAUGCAAGUCGAACGAUGAAGCUGGAGCUUGCUCCGGUGGAUUAGUGGCGAACGGGUGAGUAACCCGUGAGCAAUCUGCCCUUGAGUCAGGGAUAGCUGCGGGAAACUGUAGCUAAUACCGGAUACGACACCUUAGGGCAUCCUAGGGCGUGGAAAGAAUUGCGGUCACGGAUGAGCUCGCGGCUUAGCAGCUAGGUUGUGAGGUAUUUGCUCACCAAGGCGACGCCGGGUAGCCGGCCUGAGAGGGUUACGGGCCACCCUGUAACUGAGACACGGUCCGGACUACUACGGGAGGCAGCAGUGGGGAAUAUUGCACAAUGGGCGAAAGCCUGAUGCAGCAACGCCGCGUGAGGGAUGAAGGCCUUCUGGUUGUAAACCUCUUUUAGCAGGGAAGAAGCAAAAGUGACGGUACCUGCAGAAAAAGCACCGGCUAACUACGUGCCAGCCGCCGCAGUAA